Molecule: transfer RNA, 74 nt
Filed under: Salmo salar (Atlantic salmon)
Lineage: Eukaryota; Metazoa; Chordata; Actinopteri; Salmoniformes; Salmonidae
Rfam family: tRNA
About the family: Transfer RNA (tRNA) molecules are approximately 80 nucleotides in length.
Source: Rfam by way of RNAcentral
GGCCGGUUAGCUCAGUUGGUUAGAGAGUGGUGCUAUUAACGCCAAGGUCGUGGGUUCGAUCCCCAUACUGGCCA